RNAcentral lists this ribosomal RNA (301 nucleotides) under uncultured bacterium. RNAcentral's name for it is "partial 16S ribosomal RNA". It matches the Rfam family "Bacterial small subunit ribosomal RNA", at positions 509 to 807 of the family's 1533-position model. The record is from RNAcentral.
CAGUAGCCGCGGGAAUACGUAGGGUGCAAGCGUUAAUCGGAAUUACUGGGCGUAAAGCGUGCGCAGGCGGUUUGUUAAGACAGAUGUGAAAUCCCCGGGCUCAACCUGGGAACUGCAUUUGUGACUGGCAAGCUAGAGUCUGGCAGAGGGGGGUGGAAUUCCGCGUGUAGCAGUGAAAUGCGUAGAUAUGCGGAGGAACACCGAUGGCGAAGGCAAUCCCCUGGGCCUGUACUGACGCUCAUGCACGAAAGCGUGGGGAGCAAACAGGAUUAGAUACCCGCGUAGUCCCUGUCUCUUAUAC